This 468-nucleotide ribosomal RNA is filed under the name uncultured bacterium. RNAcentral's name for it is "partial 16S ribosomal RNA". It matches the Rfam family "Bacterial small subunit ribosomal RNA", at positions 28 to 507 of the family's 1533-position model. The record is from RNAcentral.
GACGAACGCUGGCGGCGUGCUUAACACAUGCAAGUCGAACGGAAAGGCCCUGCUUUUGUGGGGUGCUCGAGUGGCGAACGGGUGAGUAACACGUGAGUAACCUGCCCUUGACUUUGGGAUAACUUCAGGAAGCUGGGGCUAAUACCGGAUAGGAGCUCCUGCUGCAUGGUGGGGGUUGGAAAGUUUCGGCGGUUGGGGAUGGACUCGCGGCUUAUCAGCUUGUUGGUGGGGUAGUGGCUUACCAAGGCUUUGACGGGUAGCCGGCCUGAGAGGGUGACCGGCCACAUUGGGACUGAGAUACGGCCCAGACUCCUACGGGAGGCAGCAGUGGGGAAUAUUGCACAAUGGGCGGAAGCCUGAUGCAGCAACGCCGCGUGCGGGAUGACGGCCUUCGGGUUGUAAACCUCUUUCGCCUGUGACGAAGCGUGAGUGACGGUAAUGGGUAAAGAAGCACCGGCUAACUACGUG